This 253-nucleotide ribosomal RNA is filed under the name uncultured bacterium. Its description in RNAcentral is "partial 16S ribosomal RNA". It matches the Rfam family "Bacterial small subunit ribosomal RNA", at positions 524 to 776 of the family's 1533-position model. The record is from RNAcentral.
UACGGGGGGGGCAAGCGUUGUUCGGAAUUACUGGGCGUAAAGGGCUCGUAGGUGGCCAACUAAGUCAGACGUGAAAUCCCUCGGCUUAACCGGGGAACUGCGUCUGAUACUGGAUGGCUUGAGUUCGGGAGAGGGAUGCGGAAUUCCAGGUGUAGCGGUGAAAUGCGUAGAUAUCUGGAGGAACACCGGUGGCGAAGGCGGCAUCCUGGACCGUCACUGACGCUGAGGAGCGAAAGCCAGGGGAGCAAACGGG